GACGAACGCUGGCGGCGUGCUUAACACAUGCAAGUCGAACGGUGAAGCGCUUGCCUUUUUGGUGGGUGUGGAUGAGUGGCGAACGGGUGAGUAACACGUGAGUAACCUGCCCUCUUCUUCUGGAUAACCUCAUGAAAGUGGGGCUAAUACGGGGUAUUCCGGGUCUGUCGCAUGGCGGGUUUGGGAAAGAUUGCGCCUUUGGGUGUUUUCGGUGGGGGAUGGGCUCGCGGCCUAUCAGCUUGUUGGUGGGGUGAUGGCCUACCAAGGCGGUGACGGGUAGCCGGCCUGAGAGGGUGGACGGCCACACUGGGACUGAGACACGGCCCAGACUCCUGCGGGAGGCAGCAGUGGGGAAUAGUGCACAAUGGGCGCAAGCCUGAUGCAGCGACGCCGCGUGAGGGAUGGAGGCCUUCGGGUUGUGAACCUCUUUCGCCAGUGAAGCAGGCCUGCUCCUGUGUGGGUGGGUUGACGGUAGCUGGAUAAGAAGCGCCGGCUAACUACGUG
RNAcentral lists this ribosomal RNA (504 nucleotides) under uncultured bacterium. Its description in RNAcentral is "partial 16S ribosomal RNA". It matches the Rfam family "Bacterial small subunit ribosomal RNA", at positions 28 to 507 of the family's 1533-position model. The record is from RNAcentral.